AGUGAAUUAGCGGCGAACGGGUGAGGAACACGUGAGGAAUCUGCCUUCAACACUGGGAUAACUCCGGGAAACCGGGGCUAAUACCGGAUACGAGCUCUGAUCGCAUGAUCGGGGCUGGAAAGUUUUUCGGUUGAAGAUGACCUCGCGGCCUAUCAGCUUGUUGGUGAGGUAAUGGCUCACCAAGGCGACGACGGGUAGCCGGCCUGAGAGGGCGACCGGCCACACUGGGACUGAGACACGGCCCAGACUCCUACGGGAGGCAGCAGUAGGGAAUCUUCCGCAAUGGACGAAAGUCUGACGGAGCAACGCCGCGUGAGUGACGAAGGUUUUCGGAUCGUAAAACUCUGUUGUGAGGGAAGAACACGUACCAGCUAACUACUGGUACCUUGACGGUACCUCACCAGAAAGCCACGGCUAACUACGUGCCAGCAGCCGCGGUAAUACGUAGGUGGCAAGCGUUGUCCGGAAUUAUUGGGCGUAAAGCGCGCGCAGGCGGUCCUUUAAGUCUGAUGUGAAAGCCCACGGCUCAACCGUGGA
RNAcentral lists this ribosomal RNA (537 nucleotides) under uncultured Caryophanales bacterium. RNAcentral's name for it is "bacterial SSU rRNA". It matches the Rfam family "Bacterial small subunit ribosomal RNA", at positions 86 to 619 of the family's 1533-position model. The record is from RNAcentral. Lineage: Bacteria; Bacillati; Bacillota; Bacilli; Caryophanales.